AACUACCUCUGAUGAAGCUAGCAGGUGAAGCUAAUAAUGUCUUUAUAAGAAACUGAAACCAGUCCCUCCAGUGUGACCAGUGCCACCGUCAAGUAACGGGGAAAAGCUCUAGAACACCUUUCAGAAACAGCUGGAUGAGUGUUAGAUUAAGGCUUGGUUCAGUUUUCCGGUAGUUUUAAUAAUAACGGCCGUGUUUUGGGACCGUUAGUUAGCUUAGCCGUUAGCUCUAAAGCAACAAGUUCAGAGGAAAAAACUCAAGCAUUUCAACAACUUGGUCAAAGAAAGGAAGGAUGGUGUCUGCUCAGCGUCCGGUGUAGAUGAAAUCUGAGGAAAAAGCACAGACUCGGCCACGAUGACGGAGAAGAAGCGCACGGCUCCGUUAGCGUCGCUGAACCACGAGCAGUUGAAGCGGAACAGGAUGGACGACGGCGUGACCUUCGACCUCUCGCUGACCCGGACACUGGGGGGCGGGACCGGCGGACCUGAGAGGAGGCGGGUUGGGAUAUAUUUAUACUGGAAGACAUUUACACAAUAUGUUGGUUGUGUUUUUCCCGGUAUGGAAGCCCCCCAAAUGUUUAUAUGUAAAUAAUAACACGUCAGAUAUUCAGAAAAAGGCUUCCUUAAAAAAACUCUUCUUUAUUUGUUUUUUGUCUCGCUCCAGUUGUGUCAGGAUGAUUCAUGACUCAGCAGAAAGAGGAACAAAGACGGAAAUAAAGUUAAAGUUCAAACGUGA
Molecule: long non-coding RNA, 733 nt
Organism: Eleginops maclovinus (Patagonian blennie)
Lineage: Eukaryota; Metazoa; Chordata; Actinopteri; Perciformes; Eleginopidae
Exons: 3
Source: RefSeq, a predicted model, not a curated record